RNAcentral lists this transfer RNA (66 nucleotides) under Plegadiphilus threskiornis. Its description in RNAcentral is "tRNA-Lys". The record is from RNAcentral. Lineage: Eukaryota; Metazoa; Arthropoda; Insecta; Psocodea; Menoponidae.
CUCUAAAUGACUGAUUUAAAGUGUUAACCUUUUAAGUUAAAUUAUGGGUAAAUUACCCUUUAGAGA